CCUACGGGAGACUGCAGUGAGGAAUAUUGGUCAAUGGCCGGGAGGCUGAACCAGCCAAGUCGCGUGAGGGAAGACGGCCCUACGGGUUGUAAACCUCUUUUGUCAGGGAUUAAGGUGCAGGUCGGGACCUGCUGUGAGAGCACCUUAAGAAAAAGCAUCGGCUAACUCCGUGCAAGCAGCCGCGGUAAUACGGAGGAUGCGAGCGUUAUCCGGAUUUAUUGGGUUUAAAGGGUGCGCAGGCGGAGGCACAAGGCAGCGGGAAAAUCGCGGUGCGCAACCCCGCGUCGGCGUUGAAACUGGGGCGCUUGAGUGCGCGAAGGGUAGGCGGAAUGCGUGGUGUAGCGGUGAAAUGCAUAGAUAUGACGCAGAACUCCGAUUGCGAAGGCAGCCUACCGGCGCGCAACUGACGCUGAUGCACGAAAGCGUGGGUAUCGAACAGGAUUAGAUACCCGAGUAGUC
RNAcentral lists this ribosomal RNA (459 nucleotides) under uncultured bacterium. RNAcentral's name for it is "partial 16S ribosomal RNA". It matches the Rfam family "Bacterial small subunit ribosomal RNA", at positions 338 to 795 of the family's 1533-position model. The record is from RNAcentral.